GAAUGUUACUUCACAACCAAGGUGAGGAAUGGGCAGAAAGCAGGAGCAGCAGCAGUUCUUCUUGUUGAUCAAAUAAUUCAAACAUUAUUUACAACAGACAAAUCAGAAAGCAGACAGGCAACAAAUGAUUUACAGGAUAUCACCAUUCCUUCAGCACUUAUAACCAGAAGCCUUGGGAACAAUCUCAAGAAAGCAAUUGAUAAUGGCGAUUUGGUUAAUGUAAACUUCAACUGGGGGAAGUCCCGAUUGUACCCUGAUGAGCGUGCUGAGUAUGAACUCUGGACAAACAGUAAUGAUGAAUGUGGUCCAAAAUAUGAUAGCCAGGUUGAUUUCCUGAAGAGAUUUAAAGGUGUAGCCCAGACACUUGAGAAAGGCUACACACAGUUCACUCCUCAUUACAUUACUUGGCAUUGCCCAGAGAGUUACCAAAAUAGCAUAAGGUGCAGGUCCCAAUGUAUCAACUAUGGGAGAUAUUGUGCACCAGACCCGGAACAAGAUAGGUAUGAUGGGAGCGAUGUAGUGGUUCAGAAAUUACAUCAACUUUGUGUGUUCAAAGUUGCAAAGAGGACUGGGAAGCCUUGGUUAUGGUGGGACUAUGUGACUCAUUUUGCUAUUAGGUGCUCAGUGAAGGAAAUGAACUACAGUAGAAGAUGUGCUGACAGAGUAAUCGAAUCACUUGGCCUUAAUCAAAAAGAGGUUGACAUAUGUGUUGGUGAUCCUUCCGCGGACGAGGAAAAUCCUGCACUAAAAGCUGAACAAGACACACAGAUUGGCAAGGGUUCUCAUAGUGAUAUUACUAUGUUACCAACACUUGUAAUCAACAAUAGACAAUACAGAAGGAAACUUGAAAAAGGAACAGUUCUUAGAGCUCCCUGCACCAGCUUCCAAGAAAAUAAUAAACCAUCUGUUUGCUCAAAUGAAGACAUACAAACCAAUCAAUGCUUGGACAACAAUGGCGGUUGUUGGCAAGAUACGGCUGCUAACGUGACUGCGUGCAAGGACACCUCCACUGGAACAGUUUGUGAAUGUCCAGUUUUGCAAGGUGUGAAGUACAUUGGUGAUGGUUACAACGACUGCGAAGGUACACUAAUAAUUUUCUAUAUUUAUCUUUUGAUAGCUUUUGUUUGUUCUUUUGAAGUAAUGUGCAGAAGAUACUCAUUUCUCUGUGGCAAACAUAGGUACCUAGACAAUCUGCCCAUCUUCCUGUCCAUAGUUCCUUUUAUAGAAAAGAACAGGGGAAACACGCAGUUAAGUUAA
RNAcentral lists this ribosomal RNA (1257 nucleotides) under Triticum aestivum (bread wheat). Its description in RNAcentral is "partial small subunit ribosomal RNA". Lineage: Eukaryota; Viridiplantae; Streptophyta; Magnoliopsida; Poales; Poaceae. The record is from RNAcentral.